CUAUGUCCAAUGACCAUACUCUCUCAACCUCUCAUGUCUCACGAUAUCUCUCGAAUCAUAAAUAAAAAAUACGUAUCUCUCUCCCAUUAGCCAACUCCAUCAAUCUCUCAAGUAGCUCUAAGAAACUCUCACGUGAAAAGCUCUGACCAUGGCCCAAAUCUCUCUUAAUGUCUCACGUAAUUCUCUUCCUAGAGUGCAAUCGUGAAACAAGUGCAAGAUCCAUCAACAUGCACGCUUCUUCUUCCUCUGUCGGAGAUUCAACCGGUGGUGAUUCAGGAUUCAGGUAUUGACAGAUGCACAUGUGCACAGAUCGACAAGUCAAAGACAAGAUUUAAAUUAAAAAAAAAAUUGGAAUAUACAGGCUCAGAUCAAUUCCGUCUGUUUCCUAAUCUAUUUCGUAUAUUCACCCCUUCCUACCUGUCACCUACCCAGGCCCUAAUCUCUCUUAUAACAGAUCAUCUCAUCCUUGGGUGCGAUUGAGUAGAAAAUUGGAAGAUUGAUCAACAUCUAUUCGUACUGCAGAAUUCUACUUCUUCUAUCUGACAUGCAAGUGGCGAUGUUUCAGGUAUUGACAGAUGCAUGUGCUCAGAUCCAAAGGCAAGAUUCAUUUUUUUUGCAAUAUGGAUGCUCAGAUCAAUUCCGCCAAAGGUGAAUGAUGUGAUGUGAUUAUGCAUGGAGCGCUGGAUGUUCUCCUAUUCUCAUGUUAUGUGCCAAAAUCUGGCAGAAUUUGUCCACCAAUCAAGGAUCAUCGCAACCUCGGAUUAGUUCUUCUUCUCAAGUUGAACGUUCAAUCUAGUAGCAAUCUUUUGAUUGACCCAUGUCUAUACAAACCAGUACAGAUCUUUUGCAUAGAUGAGUAUAUGAUGAUUUUCCAUCAAAUAAAUGCAAGAUUCAAGUUGUAUUUAUUUUCUAAUAUGCUCUUGAAGAAAUUUGUCUGCUCAUUGGGCACUGUAGCAAGCUUAGUUUAUUCUUCUUAUCAUGUCAAAGGUGCAAUUCUAGCAUUCAUAUAAUUGAUCUCCAUGGAUAGUAACCAAUAUGAUUGUUUUCUGUCCGAAAGUUUGUUGUGAUGUCGGACCUAUCUUCAACUUGGAGAAGGUAGAUGGAGAAAAAAAAGGUAAUGUGAGAUGCGAUUGGGGUAACAUAAAUAAUACUCCCUCCAUCUCGGUUUAUAGGACAUCCGCGUAAUUCUAGAUCAUCAAUUCGACUAACUAAGUAUAAGUUGUAUAUCAUCAAAAGUAUAUCAUUGAAAUCUUAAGCUGAUGUAGUUUAUAAACCUAUAUUUUUUUAUUAAAUAUAAUACAUAUUUAGUUAUAUAAAUUAUCAACCUCGAACGACGUGCAUGCCUUAUAAACCGAGAUGGAGGAAGUAGCGCGGUUACUUUUCUUCUUUUUUGCAAUCAACAAAUCACUUCUCCGCACCUCUAUAUGUGUUUGUCUAGGAACUAUUUCAACAGAUUCUUUCUUGCAUGAACUUGUGGUAACAACUUCUCCAGAAUUUUGCUUGGACAUGUCAGCGAGAUCCCAUCAAAGGUACCCCACUCAAGCCUAUUGUGUGGACACACAUGCAUGUUGUCAUCGGCAACAAUUUCGUGGUUGAACAUAACAGACAUCCCCGCACGAGCUUCUC
This 1626-nucleotide long non-coding RNA is filed under the name Hordeum vulgare. Its description in RNAcentral is "long non-coding RNA (HVUL_LNC019400)". The record is from RNAcentral. Lineage: Eukaryota; Viridiplantae; Streptophyta; Magnoliopsida; Poales; Poaceae.